RNAcentral lists this ribosomal RNA (494 nucleotides) under uncultured bacterium. RNAcentral describes it as "partial 16S ribosomal RNA". It matches the Rfam family "Bacterial small subunit ribosomal RNA", at positions 28 to 507 of the family's 1533-position model. The record is from RNAcentral.
GACGAACGCUGGCGGCGUGCUUAACACAUGCAAGUCGAACGGUGAAGCGCCUUCCUUUUUGGUGGGUGUGGAUGAGUGGCGAACGGGUGAGUAACACGUGAGUAACCUGCCCCCUUCUUCUGGAUAACCGCAUGAAAGUGUGGCUAAUACGGGAUAUUCUGGGUCUGUCGCAUGAUGGGUCUGGGAAAGAUAUUGUUUCGGUGGGGGAUGGGCUCGCGGCCUAUCAGCUUGUUGGUGGGGUGAUGGCCUACCAAGGCGGUGACGGGUAGCCGGCCUGAGAGGGUGGGCGGUCACACUGGGACUGAGACACGGCCCAGACUCCUACGGGAGGCAGCAGUGGGGAAUAUUGCACAAUGGGAGCAAGGCUGAUGCAGCGACGCCGCGUGAGGGAUGGAGGCCUUCGGGUUGUGAACCUCUUUCGCCAGUGAAGCAGGCCUGCCUCGUUUGUGGGUGGGUUGACGGUAGCUGGAUAAGAAGCGCCGGCUAACUACGUG